UUGACUUAUUCAGUACAGAAGACUCAGAGAGGCCUAAAAUUAACAAAGAGUUGGGUACCUCCGGCGGGCGCCCCCCGGGGGGGCCGGGGGGCCUGCGCCCCGGGCGCCGCGAGGGCGUCAGGGGAGCGGGCCGCCCGCCGAAGCAACGUUUGAAGGUAGCGUCCACGAUGGUUUAGGGAGUUUUGCAACUCUGUAAUGAUCCCUCCGCUGGUUCACCAACGGAGA
Molecule: unclassified non-coding RNA, 225 nt
Filed under: uncultured fungus
Lineage: Eukaryota; Fungi
Description: sequence contains ITS1
Source: RNAcentral